RNAcentral lists this ribosomal RNA (459 nucleotides) under uncultured bacterium. RNAcentral describes it as "partial 16S ribosomal RNA". It matches the Rfam family "Bacterial small subunit ribosomal RNA", at positions 338 to 795 of the family's 1533-position model. The record is from RNAcentral.
CCUACGGUAGGCAGCAGUGAGGAAUAUUGGUCAAUGGGCGCGAGCCUGAACCAGCCAAGUCGCGUGAGGGAAGACGGUCCUAUGGAUUGUAAACCUCUUUUGUCGGGGAGCAAAGGAAGCCACGCGUGGCGUUCCGCGUGUACCCGAAGAAUAAGCAUCGGCUAACUCCGUGCCAGCAGCCGCGGUAAUACGGAGGAUGCGAGCGUUAUCCGGAUUUAUUGGGUUUAAAGGGUGCGCAGGUGGAAUAUCAAGUCAGCGGUAAAAUUGUGGGGCUCAACCUCUUCGAGCCGUUGAAACUGGUUUUCUUGAGUGUGCGAGAAGUAUGCGGAAUGCGUGGUGUAGCGGUGAAAUGCAUAGAUAUCACGCAGAACUCCGAUUGCGAAGGCAGCAUACCGGCGCUCAACUGACGCUGAUGCACGAAAGUGUGGGGAUCGAACAGGAUUAGAUACCCUAGUAGUC